UACGUAGGUCACAAGCGUUGUCCGGAUUUAUUGGGCGUAAAGGGAGCGCAGGCGGCCAGUUAAGUCUGAUGUGAAAGCCCACGGCUCAACCGUGGAGGUGCAUUGGAAACUGAUUGGCUUGAGUACAGAAGAGGAAAGUGGAAUUCCAUGUGUAGCGGUGAAAUGCGUAGAUAUAUGGAGGAACACCAGUGGCGAAGGCGACUUUCUGGUCUGUAACUGACGCUGAGGCUCGAAAGCGUGGGUAGCAAACAGGAUUAGA
RNAcentral lists this ribosomal RNA (259 nucleotides) under uncultured prokaryote. Its description in RNAcentral is "partial 16S ribosomal RNA". It matches the Rfam family "Bacterial small subunit ribosomal RNA", at positions 524 to 782 of the family's 1533-position model. The record is from RNAcentral.